RNAcentral lists this ribosomal RNA (384 nucleotides) under uncultured Alphaproteobacteria bacterium. RNAcentral describes it as "bacterial SSU rRNA". It matches the Rfam family "Bacterial small subunit ribosomal RNA", at positions 39 to 452 of the family's 1533-position model. The record is from RNAcentral. Lineage: Bacteria; Pseudomonadati; Pseudomonadota; Alphaproteobacteria.
UUUAUAGGGAAACCGAUACACCUUACACAUGCAAGACGAACGCAUAUAAUAUUUUAUAUGAGUAGCGAACGGGUGCGUAACACGUGAGAAUCUACCCAUAGCUUAUGGUUAAAUACCGUAGAAUCUUUUUGAUUUAGAUAUAUAUCGGUUAUGGAUGAGCUUGCGGGGUAUUAGGUAGUUGGUGUGGUAAUGGCGCACCAAGCCCAAGAUGCCUAGCCGGUUUGAGAGAACGAUCGGCCACACUGGGACUGAGACACGGCCCAGACGCUUACGAGCGGCAGCAGUGGGGAAUAUUGGACAAUGGGCGAAAGCCUGAUCCAGUGAUAUCGCUUUAGGGAUGACAGCGACAUACGUUGUAAACCUAAUGGAAUAUGUUUAGAUUAU